ACGAACGCUGGCGGCGUGCCUCAUCCAUGCAAGUCGAGCGGACUGAUUAAGAGCUUGCUCUUAUGACGUUAGCGGCGGACGGGUGAGUAACACGUGGGCAACCUGCCCUGUAGAUCGGGAUAACACCGAGAAAUCGGUGCUAAUACCGGGUAAUAUCUGAGAUCACAUGAUCUUAGGUUAAAAGAUGGCUCCGGCUAUCACUACAGGAUGGGCCCGCGGCGCAUUAGCUAGUUGGUAAGGUAAUGGCUUACCAAGGCGACGAUGCGUAGCCGACCUGAGAGGGUGAUCGGCCACACUGGGACUGAGACACGGCCCAGACUCCUACGGGAGGCAGCAGUAGGGAAUCUUCCGCAAUGGACGAAAGUCUGACGGAGCAACGCCGCGUGAGUGAUGAAGGGUUUCGGCGCGUAAAGCUCUGUUGUUAGGGAAGAAACAGUACCGAACGAACUAGGUCGGUACCUUGACGGUACCUAACCAGAAAGCCACGGCUAACUACGUG
Molecule: ribosomal RNA, 499 nt
Filed under: uncultured bacterium
Lineage: Bacteria
Description: partial 16S ribosomal RNA
Rfam family: Bacterial small subunit ribosomal RNA
Source: RNAcentral